RNAcentral lists this ribosomal RNA (301 nucleotides) under uncultured bacterium. RNAcentral's name for it is "partial 16S ribosomal RNA". It matches the Rfam family "Bacterial small subunit ribosomal RNA", at positions 509 to 809 of the family's 1533-position model. The record is from RNAcentral.
CAGCAGCCGCGGUAAUACAGAGGGUGCGAGCGUUAAUCGGAUUUACUGGGCGUAAAGCGUGCGUAGGCGGCUUCUUAAGUCGGAUGUGAAAUCCCUGAGCUUAACUUAGGAAUUGCAUUCGAUUCUGGGAAGCUAGAGUAUGGGAGAGGAUGGUAGAAUUCCAGGUGUAGCGGUGAAAUGCGUAGAGAUCUGGAGGAAUACCGAUGGCGAAGGCAGCCAUCUGGCCUAAUACUGACGCUGAGGUACGAAAGCAUGGGGAGCAAACAGGAUUAGAUACCCCAGUAGUCCCUGUCUCAUAUAC